CUCAAUAUACCCCCCAGCCUUCGGCCCUCCAGAACUGAUCCUAGAAUGCCACACCUUUGUCUCUGAUCAGUUUGUCCCUAAGACUGUGGCUGAGAGUGAGAGACUGUGAGACAGUUACAGAAACAUAGAAGAAAACAUCCAUGGAUGUACUGACAAUCCCAGAGACAGAAUUAUCUUCAGUCACACAGAUCCACACAUCCAGAAAUCCCUGUAGGGAAAAGAGAUUGUUUUUUUACCUCCAAGGUACAGAAGAAAAAGGGAAGGAUUGUUGUGAGAAAAGCUCUGUAAACCUGUAUGAUCUAUUAAAAUGAUCGAAUGAAAUGUGAAUUAAGGGAAUGCCAUAAAUGUGGAUCUCUGCAAAGGAUUUGACAAAGUCUCUUGUGCUUUUGUGAUGAGUGAGAUGAAGAUAAAGGGAUUAGAUACAUUUGGGAAGAUUCAGAACUAGUUAGAUGCCUGGACCCAGACACUAGAUGAGUGACUCCAUUGGGAGGGACAUUGACAAACUGAAGCAUGAGAGGGAACUCCAAAUAAUAGAAGACUACUUCCUCUUAUCAGGUGCUGUCAUCUGACCUGCUGAUGGAAUCUCAGGACCCCGGGCCUUGCCUUAGGCCUUCUGAGCCCUUCUAUUUGCCCUGUAACUGAAGUUUCUUCCCAGUUAAAGGUAUCAAGUCAAGGAGCAAGUGCCUUGAGCUAAAUGUUGAUGUGAGUUCCUUAACAAUAGGGACUGUCUUGUUUUUUCUUUUUGCCUCCCUGACCCUUGGCAUAGUGCGCAGUGCAUAGCGAGUAUUUUAUAAAUGCUUUUCCAUUCAUUUAUAAAGCGCCUACUGUGUGCAGGAUCCCAUUGCUUAGUGCUGAGAGAUACAGUUAUUUGAUUCAGGCACAGUUCUUACCUUCCAGGAGCUUAAUCUAAUAAGUGGAUCCUGCACAAACUCAUACAACUCUGGUGGAUGGGCCUGAUUACAUGCUGAGUGCCUUGGGGAGGAGUACAUAAAACGCCACCUGACAUGUGAGGGGAGCAAUGCAGGAUGUCAGGAUGGCUUCAUGGGCAACCACUGAACUCCCUUCUGCCUCAGUUUCCUCAUCUGCAGGAGAGUACGGGGACAGGCCCCAUCCAGGACUACGUUUUCCCUCAAAGUUGACGUAAGGAAGUGCUUUCCUGUGCUCCUGGCUCUCCCUUGCUGCCAUUCAGAGAUCUCACCUGGCUGCAGAGUAGGGAAUGUGCCGAGGCUCUCCUGAAAACAGAGGGCCACAAGCAGGACAGUCAGCAGGGCCUUCAUUUCUCCAGUGGGUCGCCCAAAGCCGGGGAGGUGUGUUCCUGAAGGAGAUCAGGGCGGCUCAGCCGAGCCUGAAGGGCCUCGAGGGCCUAAGGCCGCAAGGGAUCUCAAAGGGAUUCAAAGAUGGAAAACACAGACGCGGGGACAGCUUUUGUUCGCCAGAAGUGGGCAAU
This 1447-nucleotide long non-coding RNA is filed under the name Sarcophilus harrisii (Tasmanian devil). Its description in RNAcentral is "lncRNA (ENSSHAG00000026125.1)". Lineage: Eukaryota; Metazoa; Chordata; Mammalia; Dasyuromorphia; Dasyuridae. The record is from RNAcentral.